RNAcentral lists this non-coding RNA (148 nucleotides) under Gorilla gorilla gorilla (western lowland gorilla). Lineage: Eukaryota; Metazoa; Chordata; Mammalia; Primates; Hominidae. The record is from Rfam by way of RNAcentral.
GCCGGGCGUGGUGGCGGGCGCCUGUAGUCCCCGCUACUCGGGAGGCUGAGGCAGGAGAAUAGCUUGAACCUAGGAGGCGGAGUUUGCAGUGAGCCGAGAUUGCGCCACUGCACUCCAGCCUAGGUGACACAGUGAGACUCUGUCUCAA